CCUAAUACAUGCAAGUCGAGCGGUAAGGCUUUCACAGAUUAUUUAACCAGAUAAGUUCUUCGGAAAACUGUUUGCAGCGAUGAUUCCCCGGCUAGGGAAUCAAGAGUUGAAUAAUGCGUGAAAGUACACGAGCGGCGGACGGCUGAGUAACACGUAGGAACGUACCCCAAAGUGAGGGAUAAGCACCGGAAACGGUGUCUAAUACCGCAUGUGAUCUUCGGAUUAAAGCUUCGGCGCUUUGGGAACGGCCUGCGCAUGAUUAGCUUGUUGGUGAGGUAAAAGCUCACCAAGGCGACGAUCAUUAGCUGGUCUGAGAGGAUGAUCAGCCAGACUGGGACUGAGAACGGCCCAGACUCCUACGGGAGGCAGCAGUAGGGAAUUUCCACAAUGGACGAAAGUCUGAUGGAGCAACGCCGCGUGCAGGAUGAAGGGUUUCGGCUCGUAAACUGCUUUUAUCUGUGAAGAUUAUGACGGUAGCAGAUGAAUAAGGAUCGGCUAACUCCGUG
This 506-nucleotide ribosomal RNA is filed under the name uncultured bacterium. RNAcentral describes it as "bacterial SSU rRNA". It matches the Rfam family "Bacterial small subunit ribosomal RNA", at positions 47 to 507 of the family's 1533-position model. The record is from RNAcentral.